CACCCUCUUCUUCUCCUCUUGAGUUCCAUUGCGAGUCGAGAUUUCUAGGCCAUCUUCUUCUUCUUCCUCCCCUUCGCUCUGUGAAUCGACUUCUCGGAAAAAAGGAAGGGAAGCUGGGGGGGUUAAACGGGGAGAAGGACCCACAAAUGAGUGAGAUCUGUUAUGAAUUACCACUGGUUGUUGUUCAUGGUGUUGUGGGUCCCCGGGAAAAGAUGACGGAGAGGGAUUUGUGGGGCCAAAUACAUCGGAG
Molecule: unclassified non-coding RNA, 250 nt
Filed under: Hevea brasiliensis (rubber tree)
Lineage: Eukaryota; Viridiplantae; Streptophyta; Magnoliopsida; Malpighiales; Euphorbiaceae
Source: RNAcentral